This is a long non-coding RNA of Lucilia cuprina (Australian sheep blowfly), 3176 nucleotides long. RefSeq lists it as uncharacterized. The transcript is spliced from 5 exons. The record is from RefSeq and is a predicted model, not a curated record. NCBI's taxonomy places the organism in Eukaryota, Metazoa, Arthropoda, Insecta, Diptera, Calliphoridae.
UUGAAUAUUUUACACCCAAACUUUUGGCAACUAUGCCUCUGACACUGAUUACUUAAAAUUAUUAUAUUAGCGCGAAAAUUUAAUUGGCUCCCCUUUUUGCAGAACGAUUGCAUCUAUAGGAAAAAUAAAGUGGAAAAAGUGUAUUGUUGGUGCGUCGUAUCCUUAUACAGCAGAAGCUUGUGGCACUGCAAUAAUAUUGAAUUUGUAUAAAUUGUGAUAAAUGUCUAAUGAGGAUAUUUGUCGUGCUAUUGUUCGCUGAUAUUACCUUCCGGAAUAAAUUCCUCACAAAUUGAUUGUAGUUUAUAAUAAAAGAGCCUUUUCCGUAAAUGCAGCACUAUGCCCAAUGGCCUUCCCUGCCGUAAUGUAUUCCUCAUAAACUAGUUGACAGCGAUGAUGUGUUGAUUGUGGUUCGAAGUUAAAAAAAUUUUUCAGUAAAUGCGGCAUUAUAUGUGUCCCCGAAGAAAUUUCUGCCACUGAAUUAUUGGGCCAUUCAAACGAAUAGUAUCAUUAAAUACUAGAAAUACUGUAAAAUUUAUUAACUUCAGUUAUUUUAAAGCCAAAAACCAAAUAACCCCUAUAACAAUUGCAAGCUCGAACGAUUAAAAGCAGCAGCUGCCAAAAGAAACCAAAAUUUGUGUUUAGACAAUGGUGAAGCCGAUGUCAAUGCAAAUUGGAAUUGUCUAGACUAUUCAAUUAAUAAAAGUACCCUGGAUCAACGACUGUCUCUGAAGCUAACAGAUUAUUAGAAAGAUGUAGAACAUAACUUAAACGAUGUUUAUUAUACUCCAACGAAAAAAUAUAAAUCAUCUAAAAAUGCUGAAUCGCAAAAAAAGUUGUGUGAGUCUACUAUUAAGUUUAUAUAAAACAGCCGAAUAGACAACUAAAAGAAGUAUUCCCCGACAGCCGAAAUGUCCCCAAUUAUUCGGCCAAGGGCUGUCAACCCCAGCAACAACGAAAAACUGCUACAGUUAUAUUGUUAUAUUGCUAUACGUUACCUCACCAAACCUAUGUUCAUAUAUAUGUGCAAAACAUUGUCUUGGAAACAUGCACACACAUUGUUGGAUAAAACGUUCCACUUCUCCCGUGCUUAGUGAAGUACAUGCAGUAACUAUUGGUAGAAGAACUAGAUAUUUUCUGUAUAGAAGGCAAUAUCAAAAUUAUCCACAUGGAUAAGCCGCAGUGUUUGUUGAUGGGUGAAGUCGAUUAAUCUCUAAACCUUAUAUGCCAAAGCAUUUAAAAGAAAUAGUGACCGGAUUCUCAAAAGCGUUUAAAGGUUAUGUCAUUUAUUUAGUUGCGGAAUAAACUACUUCGAUGCCGAAUCAAAUUCAGUAUUACAACAGCUAUGAGACAGCAACAAAAACAGCUAUGAGACACGACAAUCGAUUCUCGCACCGGAACGAGUUGGAGGUUUACAGGUUCCUUAGAAUUCAGUUGUCACUGGGAAGGUAGUACCAAUCGGAAUAAACUACUUCGAUGCCGAAUCAAAUUCUGUAUUACAACAGCUAUGAGACAGCAACAAAAACAGCUAUGAGACACGACAAUCGAUUCUCGCACCGGAACGAGUUGGAGUUCAACGAAUAACGACUAAGGAUUGUCAACUCAGCCACACCAACUUUACACGUAUCGCUGCUACAACAACAUCAACAAUAAAGUAGCUGAUAAAUCUGGGUGAGUGCAAAUUUAAUUUAAAAUUCAAACAAAAAAUAAGAACAGUACGUCGUGACUGGACAGAUAGUUUAAAUAAUUUAACUAGGACUCGAUAGAAACAUAUUUUCAUGGUGAAUUCGGUUGUAAUAAUAUAAAUAAAUUUCUAAACUACAUGUUAUUACCCCUAAAUUAAAAUAAUUCUGAGUUAUGUCGUAGUUAUGGAUUAUGUCAUUGUCAAAACUGAUGUUUCUGUACAAUUCAUUUGUAUCAUACCCAGUGAGAAUCUGCUUUAGGAAUGAACAAACACAUGUUUGAUUUCAAAUAUGUAUUGUACAAUCAUUUAUCUUUGGUUUCAACUUACUGUAAGAUCGGACUCAGAAAAUGUUACUACCCUUGGUGACUAAUAACCCCUAGCUUUUGAUGGCACGGUUCCGUAAAGUGAAACGGGGUUGCACCUUCUAAUAGGGUAGUGACGGUUACACAUGUAACCAGCUUAGAAACGUAAGAUUAUAGUUGAACCAAACAAAUGAUAAUUCAUUCUUUAAGCUAUGAUUUCCACUGGUCUAUUUCAUACUGAAUGACAUGUACAGAUGUUAUUAUUGCUCAGGAUAUACCCUUAACCCAAUGAACCCAAUGACUUAUUUUCCAAUAUAUUUCAUUUUUUGCAUUUCAUAUUAUGUUUCUACACAUUUAAAAUAAUUUUUCUUUCAAUCUAACUAAUGUUUCUGUACCAUCAUUCAUUUGUAUAAUAGCCAGUGAGAAUCUGCUUUAGGAAUGAACAAACACAUAUUUGAUUUCAAAUAUGUAUUGUACAAUCAUUUACAUUUGUUUCAACUUACUGUAAGAUCGGACUCAGAAAAUGUUACUAUCCUUGGUGACUAAUAACCCCUAGCUUUUGAUGGCACGGUUCCGUAAAGUGUAAUGGGGUUGCACCUUCUAAUAGGGUAGUGACGGUUACACAUGUAACCAGCUUAGAAACGUAAGAUUUUAGUUGAAGCAACAAAUGGUUAUUUAUUCCUGAAGCUAUGAUUUCCACUGGUCUAUUACAUACUGAAUGUCAUGUACAGUUGUCAUUAUUGCUCCAUAACUACGUGUCUAUAUAAGCUAUGUAUCAUUUUUUUAACUGGAGGUUUCACGAGUUCUUUUAAGUAUACCACAAGGGUGAUAUUGGCCGGUACAAAUAUUAUUAAGUUCCUACAAGGCCGGGUUUGUCCGAUUUACGAUCUUUUAUUUAUAAUCCUGAAACCUUAUCCUGGACCCAAUGACUUAUUUUCUAAUAUAUUUUAAUUUUACAUUUCAUAUUAUGUUUCUAAACAUUUAUCAUAAUUUUUCUUACAAUCUUGCUGAUGUUUCUGUACCAUCAAUCAUUUGUAUAAUAGCCAGUGAGAAUCUGCCUUAGGAAUGAACAAACACAUAUUUGAUUUCAGAUAUGUAUUGUACAGUCAUUUACAAUUGGUUUCAACUUACUGUAAGAUCGGACUCAGAAAAUGUUACUACCCUUGGUGACUAAUAACCCCUAGCUUUUGAUG